UGCAGAGAGAGAACAGUAAGAAAUAGUUAGGGUUUGUGUGGGUAAGCCUUGAAAGCGAGUCUGUUGAGGGAGGUAGUUGUCACCGCCCCUUUAGGAAGGAAGAGAAUCUCAUUGCCCUCGCCUGGAUUCUCGCCGCCAUCUGGUGAGGAGCAUGAUCCCACGCACCGACAUAAGGUUUCCGCCUCGUGUACACACGGCGGGGAGUGAGCCUGUUCCUGGUCAGUUUUUCCG
Molecule: unclassified non-coding RNA, 231 nt
Filed under: Hevea brasiliensis (rubber tree)
Lineage: Eukaryota; Viridiplantae; Streptophyta; Magnoliopsida; Malpighiales; Euphorbiaceae
Source: RNAcentral